This 66-nucleotide transfer RNA is filed under the name Nacerdes carniolica. RNAcentral's name for it is "tRNA-Asp". The record is from RNAcentral. Lineage: Eukaryota; Metazoa; Arthropoda; Insecta; Coleoptera; Oedemeridae.
AAAAAUUUAGUUAAUUUAUAACAUCAAUUUGUCAAAUUGAAAUAAAUAUAUUAUUAUUAAUUUUUA